ACUAGUAGGGCUGCAAUGGCAGGUUACUCUGAUAUAGUAAUUAUUAAAGUUUGUUUCUUUCGCUAGUU
This 68-nucleotide transfer RNA is filed under the name Eudiplozoon sp. DZ-2018. RNAcentral's name for it is "tRNA-Ile". The record is from RNAcentral. Lineage: Eukaryota; Metazoa; Platyhelminthes; Monogenea; Mazocraeidea; Diplozoidae.